UCUGGUUGAUCCUGCCUGAACUGAUGUGUUCAUUUCAAAGAUUAAGCCAUGCAUGUAUAAGUAUAAUCUGCCAGUCAGAGAAACUGCGUACGGCUCAUUACACCAGCCUUAAUUUACUUGACCUUGACACCCUACUUGGAUAACUGUGGUAAUUCUAGAGCUAAUACAUGCACCAAAGCUCCAAUCUCCCCAGAGCGGAGCGCAUUUGUUCGCCACAAAACCAAGCGCCUCAGGGCGUUCAGUGUUGACUCAGAACAACUAAGCUGAUCGCACGGUCUUGCACCGGCGACGUGUCUUUCAAGUGUCUGCCUUAUCAACUUUCGAUGGUAGUGUAUCUGACUACCAUGGUGAUGACGGGUAACGGAGGAUAAGGGUUCGACUCCGGAGAAGGGGCCUGAGAAAUGGCCACUACGUCUAAGGAUGGCAGCAGGCGCGCAAAUUACCCACUCUCGACGCGAGGAGGUAGUGACGAGAAAUAACGAGACCGUUCUCAUCUGAGGCCGGUCAUCGGAAUGGGUACAAUUUAAACCCUUUAACGAGUAUCUAUGAGAGGGCAAGUCUGGUGCCAGCAGCCGCGGUAAUUCCAGCUCUCAAAAUGCAUAGAAUUAUUGCUGCGGUUAAAAAGCUCGUAGUUGGAUCUGUGCUGAGCGACCGGUCUGCCCACUGGGCACGCACUGGCUCGCCCGGCUUUCCCUGCCGGUCUCUCUCUGACGUUGGUUUUAACCGGCUGGCGUCAGUGGGCUGGCGAGUUUACUUUGAACAAAUCAGAGUGCUUCAAACAGGCGUCUCGCCUGAAUGUUCGUGCAUGGAAUAAUAGAAGAGGAUCACGGUCCGAUUUUAUUGGUUUUGCUGACCGAGAUAAUGGUUAACAGAGACAAACGGGGCCAUUCGUAUUGCUACGUGAGAGGUGAAAUUCUUGGACCGUAGCAAGACGGACUACAGCGAAAGCAUUUGGCAAGAAUGUCUUCAUUAAUCAAGAACGAAAGUCAGAGGUUCGAAGGCGAUCAGAUACCGCCCUAGUUCUGACCGUAAACGAUGCCAACUAGCGAUCCGCCGGCGGAUUCAUUCGCCCUGGUGGGGAGCUUCCCGGAAACGAAAGUCUUCCGGUUCCGGGGGAAGUAUGGUUGCAAAGCUGAAACUUAAAGGAAUUGACGGAAGGGCACCACCAGGAGUGGAGCCUGCGGCUUAAUUUGACUCAACACGGGGAAACUCACCCGGCCCGGACACCGUAAGGAUUGACAGAUUGAUAGCUUUUUCAUGAUUCGGUGGAUGGUGGUGCAUGGCCGUUCUUAGUUCGUGGAGCGAUUUGUCUGGUUUAUUCCGAUAACGAGCGAGACUCUGGCCUACUAAAUAGUUGGCACAUUGCCACUGUGUGCACAACUUCUUAGAGGGAUUUUCGGUGUUCAGCCGCACGAAAUUGAGCAAUAACAGGUCUGUGAUGCCCUUAGAUGUCCGGGGCUGCACGCGCGCUACACUGGCAAAAUCAGCGUGCUUGUCCUCCCCCGAAAGGGGUUGGUAAACCGAUGAAAAUUUGCCGUGAUUGGGAUCGGACAUUGCAAUUAUUGUCCGUGAACGAGGAAUCCCUUGUAAGGGCGAGUCAUCAACUCGUCCUGAAUACGUCCCUGCCCUUUGUACACACCGCCCGUCGCUGCCCGGGACUGAGCCAUUUCGAGAAAACCGGGGAUUGUUGGCCUGACGGCUCUCGGGUC
Molecule: ribosomal RNA, 1709 nt
Filed under: Rotylenchulus reniformis
Lineage: Eukaryota; Metazoa; Nematoda; Chromadorea; Rhabditida; Hoplolaimidae
Description: SSU rRNA
Rfam family: Eukaryotic small subunit ribosomal RNA
Source: RNAcentral